This 230-nucleotide ribosomal RNA is filed under the name uncultured bacterium. Its description in RNAcentral is "partial 16S ribosomal RNA". It matches the Rfam family "Bacterial small subunit ribosomal RNA", at positions 524 to 747 of the family's 1533-position model. The record is from RNAcentral.
GACGUAGGUGGCGAACGUUUAUCCGGAAUUAUUGGGCGUAAAGGGUGCGUAGAUGGCCUGAUAAGUUAGCAGUGGGAAAUCGAGGCUCAACCUCGUGGAAGCUGGUAAUACUGUCAAGCUCGAGUGCAGGAGAAGUUAACGGAACUUCCAUGUGGAGCGGUAAAAUGUGUAGAUAUAUGGAAGAACACCAAUAACGGCGAAGGCAGUUAAACUAUUCUGUUACUGACAUU